Molecule: ribosomal RNA, 468 nt
Filed under: uncultured bacterium
Lineage: Bacteria
Description: partial 16S ribosomal RNA
Rfam family: Bacterial small subunit ribosomal RNA
Source: RNAcentral
GACGAACGCUGGCGGCGCGCCUAACACAUGCAAGUCGAACGGAGGCAAGAGGAGCUUGCUUUUCUUGACUUAGUGGCGAACGGGUGAGUAACGCGUGAGUAACCUGCCCUGGAGUGGGGGACAACAGUUGGAAACGACUGCUAAUACCGCAUAAGCCCACGGAUCCGCAUGGAUAUGCGGGAAACGGAUUUAUUCGCUUCAGGAUGGACUCGCGUCCAAUUAGCUAGUUGGUGAGGUAACGGCCCACCAAGGCGACGAUUGGUAGCCGGCCUGAGAGGUUGGGCCGCCACUGUGGGACUGGGACGCAGCCGAGACUCCUACGGGAGGCAGCAGUGGGUGAUAUAGCACAAUGGGGGAAACCCUGAUGCAGCUACGCUGCGUGGAGGAAGAAGGUUUUCGGAUUGUAAACUCCUGUCGUUAGGGACGAUAAUGACGGUACCUAACAAGAAAGCACCGGCUAACUACGUG